CAUGUAGGCGGUCUGGUCAGCGUCCUGUGAAAUCCCUCGGCCCAACCGAGGAAUUGCGGGGCGAACUGCCGGACUUGAGGCAAGUAGGGGUGUGUGGAACUCUUGGUGGAGCGGUGGAAUGCGUAGAUAUCAAGGGGAACGCCGGUGGCGAAGGCGACACACUGGGCUUGUCCUGACGCUGAGAUGCGAAAGCCAGGGUAGCGAAC
This 206-nucleotide ribosomal RNA is filed under the name uncultured bacterium. RNAcentral describes it as "partial 16S ribosomal RNA". It matches the Rfam family "Bacterial small subunit ribosomal RNA", at positions 568 to 773 of the family's 1533-position model. The record is from RNAcentral.